UACGUAGGGACCAAGCGUUGUCCGGAAUCAUUGGGCGUAAAGCGCGCGUAGGUGGCCAUUUAAGUCCGCUGUGAAAGUCAGAGGCUCAACCUUUGAAAGCCGGUGGAUACUGGAUGGCUAGAGUACGGAAGAGGCGAGUGGAAUUCCUGGUGUAGCGGUGGAAUGCGCAGAUAUCAGGAGGAACACCGGUGGCGAAGGCGGUUCUCUGGGCAUGUCCUGACGCUGAGGAGCGAAAGUGUGGGGAGCGAACAGG
RNAcentral lists this ribosomal RNA (253 nucleotides) under uncultured bacterium. RNAcentral's name for it is "partial 16S ribosomal RNA". It matches the Rfam family "Bacterial small subunit ribosomal RNA", at positions 524 to 776 of the family's 1533-position model. The record is from RNAcentral.